UCUCCUAGAGCCAUUUAAGGGCUGACCGCCAGUGGGGAAGGAGCUCUUCUAGAGAUUUCUCCUCUGGAGUUUUGCGGUAAGCCUAAGAUACAGCUUUGCAAAAAGACAGGCUCCACAAAUCAUCUCUGGCCUUCCUAAACAUGAAGAAAAACACACCUGGUUCCAGAAGUUCCUGAUGUUGUCUUCAGUAAUCCCACAUGAUACCUGUUGGCGCUUUGGGGUCAUAGAUGGGCAUGUAACAGGGCCAUGUCAAGCUUGUGCUACCUAUUGUGGUAGGAAGAGGGUAGGGAUAACAUAAAGGUGGAAGACACAAAGCAGUGAGAAAACAGGAUUCAGUACUGUAUGGGAACUAUUGAAUGGCUUC
Molecule: long non-coding RNA, 364 nt
Organism: Tympanuchus pallidicinctus (lesser prairie-chicken)
Lineage: Eukaryota; Metazoa; Chordata; Aves; Galliformes; Phasianidae
Exons: 3
Source: RefSeq, a predicted model, not a curated record